ACGAGUAUUUGGCUUUGUAUCUUCUAACAAGGAAACACUACUUAGGCUUUGAAGAUCCGAAUGUUGUUCUAGUUCUUAUACUCAAUCAUACACAUGACAUCUAGUCAUAUUUGACUCC
This 118-nucleotide small RNA is filed under the name Arabidopsis thaliana (thale cress). Its description in RNAcentral is "ATSL033910". The record is from RNAcentral. Lineage: Eukaryota; Viridiplantae; Streptophyta; Magnoliopsida; Brassicales; Brassicaceae.